Oryza glaberrima (African rice) is the source of this 209-nucleotide non-coding RNA. Lineage: Eukaryota; Viridiplantae; Streptophyta; Magnoliopsida; Poales; Poaceae. The record is from Rfam.
AAUAAGUACAGUUUUAUAUUGUUUAUAUCCAACGUUUGACCGUUCGUCUUAUUUAAAAUUUUUUUAUGAUUAGUAUUUUUAUUGUUAUUAGAUGAUAAAACGAUGAAUAAUACUUUAUGUAUGACAAUUUUUUAAAAAAGUUUUCAAAAAUUUUUCAAAUAAGACAAACAGUUAAAAGUUAGACACGGAUACCCACGACUACACUUAUU